This is a long non-coding RNA of Xiphophorus hellerii (green swordtail), 183 nucleotides long. RefSeq lists it as uncharacterized. The record is from RefSeq and is a predicted model, not a curated record. The transcript is spliced from 2 exons. NCBI's taxonomy places the organism in Eukaryota, Metazoa, Chordata, Actinopteri, Cyprinodontiformes, Poeciliidae.
UGUGAUUCCAUUUCACGUAGUUGAGUUUUGUUUUUCUGUGCUACUGUGUGGCUCGGUGGCAUGAAAGUGGCAUCCGCUGACAUCCACUAUCAACCUAUCUUGGGUCCUUUGUGUACGAAACCUGUGUGCGUUUUUAUGAUAUAACCACACACACACACACACACGCACACACAUACACACAUA